ACAAGAUUUUUAAAAAAGGAUAUGGAUUACAAAAACUGCAGCAAGUCGGGAUUUAAGAAAUGCACCACAGCGAGCAACAGGAAACCAGCUGUUCAGUGACGAGUUCUACAUGGAACAAGUGGCUCCACAGAACAGCAAAGAUGGACAGAUUGUUUUCAGGUGAAGAUGACGUUUCCUGUGGCCUGCUCGCAGAUCACAGGCAUCACUGCUGAAGGUUUCAGUGGCAGAACACCAUGACUGAGCAGGAGCAAGAUGGAGGCCUAACAGAACCUGUCCAAAACACACAAACAGGCUUGACUUUAAUCUACAUGCGAGAGCCCAGACACUUCUACAUGUA
This is a long non-coding RNA of Monopterus albus (swamp eel), 337 nucleotides long. RefSeq lists it as uncharacterized. NCBI's taxonomy places the organism in Eukaryota, Metazoa, Chordata, Actinopteri, Synbranchiformes, Synbranchidae. The transcript has 4 exons. The record is from RefSeq and is a predicted model, not a curated record.